GACGGAGGAUGCAAGCGUUAUCCGGAAUUAUUGGGCGUAAAGCGUCCGUAGGCGGUUUAUCAAGUCUGCCGUUAAAGACUGCAGCUUAACUGUGGGCGAGCGGUGGAAACUGAUUAACUAGAGUGUGGUAGGGGUAGAGGGAAUUCCCAGUGUAGCGGUGAAAUGCGUAGAUAUUGGGAAGAACACCAGUGGCGAAGGCGCUCUGCUGGGCCACAACUGACGCUGAGGGACGAAAGCUAGGGGAGCGAAAGGG
This 253-nucleotide ribosomal RNA is filed under the name uncultured bacterium. Its description in RNAcentral is "partial 16S ribosomal RNA". It matches the Rfam family "Bacterial small subunit ribosomal RNA", at positions 524 to 776 of the family's 1533-position model. The record is from RNAcentral.